GGGUUGUGAGGUUAAGCGACUAAGCGUACACGGUGGAUGCCCUGGCAGUCAGAGGCGAUGAAGGGCGUGCUAAUCUGCGAUAAGCGCCGGUAAGGUGAUAUGAACCGUUAUAACCGGCGAUACCCGAAUGGGGAAACCCAGUGUGACUCGUCACACUAUCAUUAACUGAAUCCAUAGGUUAAUGAGGCGAACCGGGGGAACUGAAACAUCUAAGUACCCCGAGGAAAAGAAAUCAACCGAGAUUCCCCCAGUAGCGGCGAGCGAACGGGGAGGAGCCCAGAGCCUGAAUCAGCAUGUGUGUUAGUGGAAGCGUCUGGAAAGGCGCGCGAUACAGGGUGACAGCCCCGUACACAAAAGCGCAUGUGCUGUGAGCUCGAUGAGUAGGGCGGGACACGUGGUAUCCUGUCUGAAUAUGGGGGGACCAUCCUCCAAGGCUAAAUACUCCUGACUGACCGAUAGUGAACCAGUACCGUGAGGGAAAGGCGAAAAGAACCCCGGCGAGGGGAGUGAAAAAGAACCUGAAACCGUGUACGUACAAGCAGUGGGAGCACAGGUUUACCUGUGUGACUGCGUACCUUUUGUAUAAUGGGUCAGCGACUUAUAUUCUGUAGCAAGGUUAACCGUAUAGGGGAGCCGGAGGGAAACCGAGUCUUAACCGGGCGUUAAGUUGCAGGGUAUAGACCCGAAACCCGGUGAUCUAGCCAUGGGCAGGUUGAAGGUUGGGUAACACUAACUGGAGGACCGAACCGACUAAUGUUGAAAAAUUAGCGGAUGACCUGUGGCUGGGGGUGAAAGGCCAAUCAAACCGGGAGAUAGCUGGUUCUCCCCGAAAGCUAUUUAGGUAGCGCCUCGUGAAUUCAUCUCCGGGGGUAGAGCACUGUUUCGGCUAGGGGGCCAUCCCGGCUUACCAACCCGAUGCAAACUGCGAAUACCGGAGAAUGUUAUCACGGGAGACACACGGCGGGUGCUAACGUCCGUCGUGAAGAGGGAAACAACCCAGACCGCCAGCUAAGGUCCCAAAGUCAUGGUUAAGUGGGAAACGAUGUGGGAAGGCCCAGACAGCCAGGAUGUUGGCUUAGAAGCAGCCAUCAUUUAAAGAAAGCGUAAUAGCUCACUGGUCGAGUCGGCCUGCGCGGAAGAUGUAACGGGGCUAAACCAUGCACCGAAGCUGCGGCAGCGACGCUGAUGCGUUGUUGGGUAGGGGAGCGUUCUGUAAGCCUGUGAAGGUGGCCUGUGAGGGUUGCUGGAGGUAUCAGAAGUGCGAAUGCUGACAUAAGUAACGAUAAAGCGGGUGAAAAGCCCGCUCGCCGGAAGACCAAGGGUUCCUGUCCAACGUUAAUCGGGGCAGGGUGAGUCGACCCCUAAGGCGAGGCCGAAAGGCGUAGUCGAUGGGAAACGGGUUAAUAUUCCCGUACUUGGUGUUACUGCGAAGGGGGGACGGAGAAGGCUAUGUUGGCCGGGCGACGGUUGUCCCGGUUUAAGCGUGUAGGUGUGUGUUCCAGGUAAAUCCGGUUCACUUUAACACUGAGGCGUGAUGACGAGGCACUACGGUGCUGAAGCAACAAAUGCCCUGCUUCCAGGAAAAGCCUCUAAGCAUCAGGUAACAUCAAAUCGUACCCCAAACCGACACAGGUGGUCAGGUAGAGAAUACCAAGGCGCUUGAGAGAACUCGGGUGAAGGAACUAGGCAAAAUGGUGCCGUAACUUCGGGAGAAGGCACGCUGACACGUAGGUGAAGUGAUUUACUCACGGAGCUGAAGUCAGUCGAAGAUACCAGCUGGCUGCAACUGUUUAUUAAAAACACAGCACUGUGCAAACACGAAAGUGGACGUAUACGGUGUGACGCCUGCCCGGUGCCGGAAGGUUAAUUGAUGGGGUCAGCGCAAGCGAAGCUCCUGAUCGAAGCCCCGGUAAACGGCGGCCGUAACUAUAACGGUCCUAAGGUAGCGAAAUUCCUUGUCGGGUAAGUUCCGACCUGCACGAAUGGCGUAAUGAUGGCCAGGCUGUCUCCACCCGAGACUCAGUGAAAUUGAACUCGCUGUGAAGAUGCAGUGUACCCGCGGCAAGACGGAAAGACCCCGUGAACCUUUACUAUAGCUUGACACUGAACAUUGAGCCUUGAUGUGUAGGAUAGGUGGGAGGCUUUGAAGUGUGGACGCCAGUCUGCAUGGAGCCGACCUUGAAAUACCACCCUUUAAUGUUUGAUGUUCUAACGUGGACCCGUUACCCGGGUUGCGGACAGUGUCUGGUGGGUAGUUUGACUGGGGCGGUCUCCUCCUAAAGAGUAACGGAGGAGCACGAAGGUUGGCUAAUCCUGGUCGGACAUCAGGAGGUUAGUGCAAUGGCAUAAGCCAGCUUGACUGCGAGCGUGACGGCGCGAGCAGGUGCGAAAGCAGGUCAUAGUGAUCCGGUGGUUCUGAAUGGAAGGGCCAUCGCUCAACGGAUAAAAGGUACUCCGGGGAUAACAGGCUGAUACCGCCCAAGAGUUCAUAUCGACGGCGGUGUUUGGCACCUCGAUGUCGGCUCAUCACAUCCUGGGGCUGAAGUAGGUCCCAAGGGUAUGGCUGUUCGCCAUUUAAAGUGGUACGCGAGCUGGGUUUAGAACGUCGUGAGACAGUUCGGUCCCUAUCUGCCGUGGGCGCUGGAGAACUGAGGGGGGCUGCUCCUAGUACGAGAGGACCGGAGUGGACGCAUCACUGGUGUUCGGGUUGUCAUGCCAAUGGCACUGCCCGGUAGCUAAAUGCGGAAGAGAUAAGUGCUGAAAGCAUCUAAGCACGAAACUUGCCCCGAGAUGAGUUCUCCCUGAGACUUAGAGUCUCCUGAAGGAACGUUGAAGACGACGACGUUGAUAGGCCGGGUGUGUAAGCGCAGCGAUGCGUUGAGCUAACCGGUACUAAUGAACCGUGAGGCUUAACCUUACAACGCCGAAG
This 2929-nucleotide ribosomal RNA is filed under the name Salmonella enterica subsp. enterica serovar Virginia str. SA19971529. RNAcentral describes it as "bacterial LSU rRNA". It matches the Rfam family "Bacterial large subunit ribosomal RNA". Lineage: Bacteria; Pseudomonadati; Pseudomonadota; Gammaproteobacteria; Enterobacterales; Enterobacteriaceae. The record is from RNAcentral.